GACGAACGCUGGCGGCGUGCUUAACACAUGCAAGUCGAACGGUGAAGCGCCUUCCUUUUUGAUGGGUGUGGAUGAGUGGCGAACGGGUGAGUAACACGUGAGUAACCUGCCCCCUUCUUCUGGAUAACCGCAUGAAAGUGUGGCUAAUACGGGAUAUUCUGGGUCUGUCGCAUGAUGGGUCUGGGAAAGAUAUUGUUUCGGUGGGGGAUGGGCUCGCGGCCUAUCAGCUUGUUGGUGGGGUGAUGGCCUACCAAGGCGGUGACGGGUAGCCGGCCUGAGAGGGUGGACGGUCACACUGGGACUGAGACACGGCCCAGACUCCUACGGGAGGCAGCAGUGGGGAAUAUUGCACAAUGGGCGCAAGCCUGAUGCAGCGACGCCGCGUGAGGGAUGGAGGCCUGCGGGUUGUGAACCUCUUUCGCCAGUGAAGCAGGCCUGCCUCGUUUGUGGGUGGGUUGACGGUAGCUGGAUAAGAAGCGCCGGCUAACUACGUG
RNAcentral lists this ribosomal RNA (494 nucleotides) under uncultured bacterium. RNAcentral describes it as "partial 16S ribosomal RNA". It matches the Rfam family "Bacterial small subunit ribosomal RNA", at positions 28 to 507 of the family's 1533-position model. The record is from RNAcentral.